GCCGGGCGUGGUGGCGCUCGCCUGUAAUCCCAGCUACUUGAGAGGCUGAGGCAGGAGUAUUGCUUGAACCCGGGAGGCGGAGGUUGCAGUGAGCCAAGAUCAUGCCACUGCACUCCAGCCUGGGUGACAGAGCAAGACUCUGUCUCAA
RNAcentral lists this signal recognition particle RNA (148 nucleotides) under Pan troglodytes (chimpanzee). RNAcentral describes it as "Metazoan signal recognition particle RNA". It matches the Rfam family "Metazoan signal recognition particle RNA". Rfam says of the family: The signal recognition particle (SRP) is a universally conserved ribonucleoprotein. It is involved in the co-translational targeting of proteins to membranes. Lineage: Eukaryota; Metazoa; Chordata; Mammalia; Primates; Hominidae. The record is from Rfam by way of RNAcentral.